GACUGAGUGCCGAUUUAGCUAAAAGUUCGGCACCUCCCGUCUAGCCUCUUCGUUUUUUCAAGGAUUCCGUUUAGUCUGUGUGAGACUGUGAUGCUCUUCUUCUCUCUUACCGUUUCACCCAGAUUGCGCCGCCGUGGGAUCCUGUGCUCCUGCUUGUCGCUGGCUCCGGCGCGGCGGCGCUCCUGCCUCCCUAUCGCCAGAUCCUCUCAUCUCUCUUAUUCUAAUCCCGUCCAUGGUCAACCUACUCCCCCUAGUUCUUCUCCCCUCCCGAUCGAGAUCCAGAUCCAGCACCGACACCCGCGGUCUCCACUGCCGCCGUCUCCCUCUCGGCGCAUAUUCCCCUGCCCCUUGCUGUCUCGGCCUCCACGGCUCUUCCCGGCCGCAGCGCUGGAUGGAGGAGGAGGGGCUGCAUCACCAUGGGAACCCGGCACGCGUCGCCAAGGAAGGGUGUGGCAUGGUUGGAAGGCACGACUUGCCUAGGUAACCCCCGCCUCCCUGGUCCAUCGCGUCAUGAGUCCCCCGUUCGGCCUACCCCCAUCCAUCGCCAGCGAUCCAUGUGAGUCCCGCGCCGCUCCGGUGCCCGCGCGCGUCGCCACACCAGCUCCCCGUCGCAACCGAGUCGCCCGUCCUGGCGGCCAGGAAGAGGGAUUCCUCUCGUCGUCCCAUUCUCCGCCACCGCUGGGAUUCCUUCGAGUCUGCCAAGUCCUCCGCCGACUCCAGCUUGUGCGAGGAGGCACACGAGCUUUGCCACGUGCGUAGACAGCUGUUGGUGCUUGCCGCCAUGUUCUGCUCGUGGUUUGUAGUAGGAGGAGGGCCUGGAGCUCCUCGUCUCCAUUGAUAUCUGACCUCGUUUGUGACGUCUAAUACUGCCGAUGCUUGGUGCUUGGUGGAAACCAUCCGAUCUGGAGAAUCAACAGAACUAAUGUUGCUGAUGCUUGGUGCUUGGUGCUAUAACCUUCUUUAUUUUUCCCUUCUGAUUUGCUUCUAUGAAUGCGUGAUGACCUUUCAUUCUUCAUGGUGCAAGAGGUUAAAUUCGUGACUCUGAACAAAUUCUUGAUUCUGUCAUUGUUUCAGUUUGUUUUCAGGUUUUCCUAAAUCAUGUAUUUUUGGUGGAUGUUAGAGGAGUUCGCACAGAAUUGUUCCAAGUUUCUUUCCCGGUUGCAAAUCCUGCUGAAAAUAACUACAGCAUGCCACGGAUUUCUUUGGUAGUAACAUAGAUUAAAUUUGCUUUUGAGCCGUUGGGAUAGAAGUGAGCUGGAGCUGGAAUGCAAGCUAAAUGGACAUGUUUACAGGACCCCAAUGUCAAUGCGAGGGUGGACAUGCUUUAUCAGACAACACAGGUGAGCAGCCACCAUUUAUGCCAAGAGGCGCCAGGUGAUUCAGAGUUUACGCAGGUGAGUUGCCUGGUGAUUCAGAGUCUACGACAGUGAGCUGCCUGGUGAUUCAGAGUCUACGCCGGUGAGCUGAUGCAUCCGGCAUAGUGUUGUAUUAUGAGCCAUUAAAUCAUAUUUUGGUUUGUCUUUUCUGUUUCGAUUGGUUUCGGCGCUGUGCUUGGCCGUCGUUAUAUAGCCAUAAUUUAUGGUGCUGUGCGUGGCCCUUGCACGCGUCCAAAAUCUAUGCCACAUGGUGGGCCUAGCACUUGUGUUUUAAAUGUUGUUUCAGUUUGAAUUUCCCGUUACGGCAAUUACG
Molecule: non-coding RNA, 1689 nt
Organism: Lolium perenne
Lineage: Eukaryota; Viridiplantae; Streptophyta; Magnoliopsida; Poales; Poaceae
Source: RefSeq, a predicted model, not a curated record